GGGGGCCCGCACAAKCGGUGGAGCAUGUGGUUUAAUUAGAAGCAACGCGAAGAACCUUACCAGGUCUUGACAUCCUCUGACAAUCCUAGAGAUAGGACGUCCCCUUCGGGGGCAGAGUGACAGGUGGUGCAUGGUUGUYGUCAGCUCGUGUCGUGAGAUGUUGGGUUAAGUCCCGCAACGAGCGCAACCCUUGAUCUUAGUYGCCAGCAUUCAGUUGGGCACUGUAAGGUGACUGCCGGUGACAAACCGGAKGAAGGUGGGGAUGACGUCAAAUCAUCAUGCCCCUUAUGACCUGGGCUACACACGUGCUACAAUGGACAGAACAAAGGGCAGYGAAACCGCGAGGUUAAGCCCAAAUCCCACAAAUCUGUUCUCAGUUCGGAUCGCAGUCUGCAACUCGACCGCGUGAA
Molecule: ribosomal RNA, 410 nt
Filed under: Bacillus sp. T9(2010)
Lineage: Bacteria; Bacillati; Bacillota; Bacilli; Caryophanales; Bacillaceae
Description: bacterial SSU rRNA
Rfam family: Bacterial small subunit ribosomal RNA
Source: RNAcentral